This 479-nucleotide ribosomal RNA is filed under the name Babesia occultans. RNAcentral's name for it is "SSU rRNA". It matches the Rfam family "Eukaryotic small subunit ribosomal RNA", at positions 499 to 1040 of the family's 1831-position model. The record is from RNAcentral. Lineage: Eukaryota; Apicomplexa; Aconoidasida; Piroplasmida; Babesiidae.
UGUCUUGUAAUUGGAAUGAUGGUGACUUAAACCCUCACCAGAGUACCAAUUGGAGGGCAAGUCUGGUGCCAGCAGCCGCGGUAAUUCCAGCUCCAAUAGCGUAUAUUAAACUUGUUGCAGUUAAAAAGCUCGUAGUUGAAUUUCAGCGUUUCGCGUGUGCCUCUUUUGGCCCAUCUCGUCUCGCUUUUUUUAUUACUUUGAGAAAAUUAGAGUGUUUCAAGCAGGCUUUUGUCUUGAAUACUUGAGCAUGGAAUAAUAGAGUAGGACCUUGGUUCUAUUUUGUUGGUUUUGUUACCUUGGUAAUGGUUAAUAGGAACGGUUGGGGGCAUUCGUAUUUAACUGUCAGAGGUGAAAUUCUUAGAUUUGUUAAAGACGAACUACUGCGAAAGCAUUUGCCAAGGACGUUUCCAUUAAUCAAGAACGAAAGUUAGGGGAUCGAAGACGAUCAGAUACCGUCGUAGUCCUAACCCAUAAACUAA